RNAcentral lists this ribosomal RNA (402 nucleotides) under uncultured bacterium. RNAcentral describes it as "bacterial SSU rRNA". It matches the Rfam family "Bacterial small subunit ribosomal RNA", at positions 28 to 430 of the family's 1533-position model. The record is from RNAcentral.
GAUGAACGCUAGCGGCAGGCCUAACACAUGCAAGUCGAGGGGCAGCACGUCUUCGGAUGGUGGCGACCGGCGCACGGGUGCGUAACGCGUAUGCAACCUACCUCUUACAGUGGGAUAGCCCAGAGAAAUUUGGAUUAAUACCGCAUAGUAUACAGAUUCAGCAUUGGGACUGUAUUAAACAUUUAUGGGUAAGAGAUGGGCAUGCGUUCUAUUAGUUAGUUGGAGUGGUAACGGCACCCCAAGACAGCGAUAGAUAGGGGCCCUGAGAGGGGGAUCCCCCACACUGGUACUGAGACACGGACCAGACUCCUACGGGAGGCAGCAGUGAGGAAUAUUGGACAAUGGGCGAGAGCCUGAUCCAGCCAUGCCGCGUGCAGGAAGACGGCCCUAUGGGUUGUAAAC